This 467-nucleotide ribosomal RNA is filed under the name uncultured bacterium. Its description in RNAcentral is "partial 16S ribosomal RNA". It matches the Rfam family "Bacterial small subunit ribosomal RNA", at positions 28 to 506 of the family's 1533-position model. The record is from RNAcentral.
GACGAACGCUGGCGGCGUGCUUAACACAUGCAAGUCGAACGGAAAGGCCCUGCUUUUGUGGGGUGCUCGAGUGGCGAACGGGUGAGUAACACGUGAGUAACCUGCCCUUGACUUUGGGAUAACUUCAGGAAACUGGGGCUAAUACCGGAUAGGAGCUCCUGCUGCAUGGUGGGGGUUGGAAAGUUUCGGCGGUUGGGGAUGGACUCGCGGCUUAUCAGCUUGUUGGUGGGGUAGUGGCUUACCAAGGCUUUGACGGGUAGCCGGCCUGAGAGGGUGACCGGCCACAUUGGGACUGGGAUACGGCCCGGACUCCUACGGGAGGCAGGGGUGGGGAAUAUUGCACAAUGGGCGGAGGCCUGAUGCAGCAACGCCGCGUGCGGGAUGACGGCCUUCGGGUUGUAAACCGCUUUCGCCUGUGACGAAGCGUGAGUAACGGUAAUGGGUAAAGAAGCACCGGCUAACUACGU